RNAcentral lists this ribosomal RNA (115 nucleotides) under Lecithobotrys putrescens. RNAcentral describes it as "partial 5.8S ribosomal RNA". It matches the Rfam family "5.8S ribosomal RNA", at positions 1 to 107 of the family's 154-position model. From Rfam's summary of the family: 5.8S ribosomal RNA (5.8S rRNA) is a component of the large subunit of the eukaryotic ribosome. It is transcribed by RNA polymerase I as part of the 45S precursor that also contains 18S and 28S rRNA. The record is from RNAcentral. Lineage: Eukaryota; Metazoa; Platyhelminthes; Trematoda; Plagiorchiida; Haploporidae.
CACGUGGCUAGGUGGUACCGGUGGAUCACGUGGCUAGUGUGUCGAUGAAGAGCGCAGCCAACUGUGUGAAUUAAUGUGAACUGCAUACUGCUUUGAACAUCGACAUCUUGAACGC